UUGCCCAGUAACGGCGAGUGAAGCGGCAACAGCUCAAAUUUGAAAUCUGGCUCCUAGAGUCCGCAUUGUAAUUUGCAGAGGAUGCUUUUGAUGCGGUGCCUUCCGAGUUCCCUGGAACGGGACGCCAUAGAGGGUGAGAGCCCCGUCUGGUCGGAUGCCAAAUCUCUGUAAAGCUCCUUCGACGAGUCGAGUAGUUUGGGAAUGCUGCUCUAAAUGGGAGGUAUAUGUCUUCUAAAGCUAAAUAUUGGCCAGAGACCGAUAGCGCACAAGUAGAGUGAUCGAAAGAUGAAAAGCACUUUGAAAAGAGGGUUAAAAAGUACGUGAAAUUGUUGAAAGGGAAGCGCCUAUGACCAGACUUGGGCCCGGUGAAUCAUCCAGCGUUCUCGCUGGUGCACUUUGCCGGGCACAGGCCAGCAUCAGUUUGCCUUGGGGGAAAAAGGCUUUGGGAACGUAGCUCCUUCGGGAGUGUUAUAGACCAUUGCAUAAUACCCUGGGGCGGACUGAGGUUCGCGCAUCUGCAAGGAUGCUGGCGUAAUGGUCAUCAGCGACCCGUCUUGAAACACGGACCAAGGAGUCGUCUUCGUAUGCGAGUGUUCGGGUGUAAAACCCCUACGCGUAAUGAAAGUGAACGCAGGUGAGAGCUUCGGCGCAUCAUCGACCGAUCCUGAUGUUCUCGGAUGGAUUUGAGUAAGAGCAUACGGGGCCGGACCCGAAAGAAGGUGAACUAUUCCUGUAUAGGGUGAAGCCAGAGGAAACUCUGGUGGAGGCUCGCAGCGGUUCUGACGUGCGAAUCGAUCGUCAAAUAUGGGAAUGGGGGGCGAAAGACUAAUCGAACCUUCUAGUAGCUGGGUUUCCGCG
RNAcentral lists this ribosomal RNA (858 nucleotides) under Simplicillium lamellicola. RNAcentral describes it as "LSU rRNA". It matches the Rfam family "Eukaryotic large subunit ribosomal RNA", at positions 75 to 963 of the family's 3401-position model. The record is from RNAcentral. Lineage: Eukaryota; Fungi; Ascomycota; Sordariomycetes; Hypocreales; Cordycipitaceae.